GUUUAUGGUCAUACCACUACGAACGUGCCCGAUCUCUUCUGAUCGCGGAAGCUAAGCAGGGUCGGACCUGGUUAGUACUUGGAUGGGACACCACCUAGUAAUACCAAGUGCUGUAGGCG
This 119-nucleotide ribosomal RNA is filed under the name Pteropus alecto (black flying fox). Lineage: Eukaryota; Metazoa; Chordata; Mammalia; Chiroptera; Pteropodidae. The record is from RNAcentral.